Molecule: ribosomal RNA, 455 nt
Filed under: uncultured bacterium
Lineage: Bacteria
Description: partial 16S ribosomal RNA
Rfam family: Bacterial small subunit ribosomal RNA
Source: RNAcentral
GAUGAACGCUGGCGGCAUGCCUAAUACAUGCAAGUCGUGCGGAAACACUUCGGGUGUCGAGCGGCGGACGGGUGAGUAACACGUUAGUAUCUACCCCAAACUGAGGGAUAAGCACCGGAAACGGUGUCUAAUACCGCAUAUGGUCUUCGGAUUAAAGCCUUCGGGCGGUUUGGGAGGAGCUUGCGUCUGAUUAGCUAGUUGGUAAGGUAAUGGCUUACCAAGGCUACGAUCAGUAGCUGGUCUGAGAGGAUGAUCAGCCACACUGGAACUGAGACACGGUCCAGACUCCUACGGGAGGCAGCAGUAGGGAAUUUUCCACAAUGGGCGAAAGCCUGAUGGAGCAAUGCCGCGUGCAGGAUGAAUGCCUUCGGGUUGUAAACUGCUUUUAUGAGGGAAGAUUGUGACGGUACCUCAUGAAUAAGCCUCGGCUAACUCCGUGCCAGCCGCCGCUGUAA